UUAGUUAUGGCUAAAGCUAAGACAGCACUGUUGAAUGAGUACCCAGAAAUGCUGAGCAAUGAAUUCAAGGUUGCAAUAUGUUAUUUGGUAAGAAGGAUGUGGAAUUUGCAUGCCUUGACUCACAACCCUGAAACUACUGAGUAAAGUUUAUCUCAGGCACUCAAGGUUAUAUUUUCAUUGCUAAUUUUUCUUCAUCUUUACAGAGCUGAAGGCCUACUGUCAAACCUGCUGCCCAACCAUGCCAUAAAGCUCUGUCUUCCAAGCACAUUUCCCAACUUCAGGUACCAUAAUGUUCCCGGUAGAAUGCUCUUCUUGCUCUUUAAUUCAAGGUAAUGAUGUUGCUGCAUCUUCUCUUGACACUUAAAAUGCAGUUUAAUGCCACAUCAUCAGUCAAAACUUCCGUGUGAUUUCCAAAGACAUUAAAUUAUCAGAAAAACUGAACUGAGAAAUUAACAUUUCUAAUGCAUUAGAACUUUUCUGGGCUUUUUAAGGGAGUUUUCCCCCUCUGCUCAGGAUUGUGGAACAAAGAAAACUUUCAUACCAUGUCAGAAAAUCUCUUUCCAUGAAUUUCUGCUCUGAUUUUCAUAGAAAGUAUGCAUAUCAAACAAUCUGAUUGUGCUCCAUUGGAGUUACUUACAUGGAAUAAUUUUUACAAGUGUCUCUGACAUCUUUCACUUACUUUAAAUCAGUGACUCUGACAACAUAGUGCAUAUAUUAACUUACUUACACCCUUCUGCAAUAAAUUGUUUUGGUAUAAAAAAA
Molecule: non-coding RNA, 762 nt
Organism: Taeniopygia guttata (zebra finch)
Lineage: Eukaryota; Metazoa; Chordata; Aves; Passeriformes; Estrildidae
Source: RefSeq, a predicted model, not a curated record